This 460-nucleotide ribosomal RNA is filed under the name uncultured bacterium. Its description in RNAcentral is "partial 16S ribosomal RNA". It matches the Rfam family "Bacterial small subunit ribosomal RNA", at positions 338 to 795 of the family's 1533-position model. The record is from RNAcentral.
CCUACGGGUGACAGCAGUGAGGAAUAUUGGUCAAUGGACGCGAGUCUGAACCAGCCAAGUAGCGUGAAGGAUGACUGCCCUAUGGGUUGUAAACUUCUUUUAUAUGGGAAUAAAAUGUUCCACGUGUGGGACUUUGUAUGUAUCAUAUGAAUAAGGAUCGGCUAACUCCGUGCGAGCAGCCGCGGUAAUACGGAGGAUCCGAGCGUUAUCCGGAUUUAUUGGGUUUAAAGGGAGCGUAGGUGGAUUGUUAAGUCAGUUGUGAAAGUUUGCGGCUCAACCGUAAAAUUGCAGUUGAAACUGGCAGUCUUGAGUACAGUAGGGGUGGGCGGAAUUCGUGGUGUAGCGGUGAAAUGCUUAGAUAUCACGAAGAACUCCGAUUGCGAAGGCAACUCACUGGACUGCAACUGACACUGAGGCUCGAAAGUGUGGGUAUCAAACAGGAUUAGAUACCCUGGUAGUC